UAAGCAUAUCAAUAAGCGGAGGAAAAGAAACCAACAGGGAUUGCCCUAGUAACGGCGAGUGAAGCGGCAACAGCUCAAAUUUGAAAUCUGGCCCCCUCCGGGGGUCCGAGUUGUAAUUUGCAGAGGGUGCUUUGGCUUUGGCGGCGGUCUAAGUUCCUUGGAACAGGACAUCGCAGAGGGUGAGAAUCCCGUACGUGGGCGCCUGCCACUGCCGUGUAAAGCCCCUUCGACGAGUCGAGUUGUUUGGGAAUGCAGCUCUAAAUGGGAGGUAAAUUUCUUCUAAAGCUAAAUACCGGCCAGAGACCGAUAGCGCACAAGUAGAGUGAUCGAAAGAUGAAAAGUACUUUGGAAAGAGAGUAAAAUAGCACGUGAAAUUGUUGUAGAGGAAGCGCUUGCAGCCAGACUUCCCCGUAGUUGCUCACCCGGGCUCUUGCCCGGGGCACUCUUCUGCGGGGAGGCCAGCAUCAGUUUGGGCGGUCGGAGAAAGGCCUCUGUCACGUAUCUCCCUCCGGGGUGACCUUAUAGGGGAGGCGUAAUGCGACCAGCCCGGACUGAGGUCCGCGCAUCUGCUAGGAUGCUGGCGUAAUGGCUGUAAGCGGCCCGUCUUGAAACACGGACCAAGGAGUCUAACAUCUAUGCGAGUGUUUGGGUGUCAAGCCCGGGCGCGCAAUGAAAGUGAACGGAGGUGGGAACCCUCGGGUGCACCAUCGACCGAUCCUGAUGUCUUCGGAUGGAUUUGAGUAAGAGCAUAGCUGUUGGGACCCGAAAGAUGGUGAACUAUGCUUGAAUAGGGUGAAGCCAGAGGAAACUCUGGUGGAGGCUCGCAGCGGUUCUGACGUGCAAAUCGAUCGUCAAAUUUGGGCAUAGGGGCGAAAGACUAAUCGAACUAUCUAGUAGCUGGUUCCUGCCGAAUUUCCCCCUC
This 922-nucleotide ribosomal RNA is filed under the name Spegazzinia neosundara. RNAcentral's name for it is "partial 28S ribosomal RNA". It matches the Rfam family "Eukaryotic large subunit ribosomal RNA", at positions 35 to 975 of the family's 3401-position model. The record is from RNAcentral. Lineage: Eukaryota; Fungi; Ascomycota; Dothideomycetes; Pleosporales; Didymosphaeriaceae.